CGGUUGAUCCUGCCGGACCUGACUGCUAUCGGAUUGAUACUAAGCCAUGCGAGUCAUUGUAGCAAUACAAGGCAGACGGCUCAGUAACGCGUAGUCAAUCUACCCUAUGGACGGGAAUAACCUCGGGAAACUGAGAAUAAUGCCCGAUAGAACAUUAUGCCUGGAAUGGUUUAUGUUUCAAAUGAUUUAUCGCCAUAGGAUGGGACUGCGGCCUAUCAGUUUGUUGGUGAGGUAAUGGCCCACCAAGACUAUUACAGGUACGGGCUCUGAGAGGAGUAGCCCGGAGAUGGGUACUGAGACACGGACCCAGGCCCCAUGGGGCGCAGCAGGCGAGAAAACUUUGCAAUGUGCGAAAGCACGACAAGGUUAAUCCGAGUGGUUUCUGCUAAAGAAACCUUUUGUCAGUCCUAGAAACACUGAUGAAUAAGGGGUGGGCAAGUUCUGGUGUCAGCCGCCGCGGUAAAACCAGCACCUCAAGUGGUCAGGAUGAUUAUUGGGCCUAAAGCAUCCGUAGCUCGUUUUGUAAGUUUUCGGUUAAAUCCAUGCGCUUAACGUAUGGGCUGCCGGGAAUACUGCAUAACUAGGAAGUGGGAGAGGUAGACGGUACUCGGUAGGAAGGGGUAAAAUCCUUUGAUCUAUUGAUGACCACCUGUGGCGAAGGCGGUCUACCAGAACACGUUCGACGGUGAGGGAUGAAAGCUGGGGGAGCAAACCGGAUUAGAUACCCGGGUAGUCCCAGCUGUAAACUAUGCAAACUCAGUGAUGCAUUGGCUUGUGGCCAAUGCAGUGCUGCAGGGAAGCCGUUAAGUUUGCCGCCUGGGAAGUACGUACGCAAGUAUGAAACUUAAAGGAAUUGGCGGGGGAGCACCACAAGGGGUGAAGCCUGCGG
Molecule: ribosomal RNA, 889 nt
Filed under: uncultured archaeon
Lineage: Archaea
Description: bacterial SSU rRNA
Rfam family: Archaeal small subunit ribosomal RNA
Source: RNAcentral